Molecule: ribosomal RNA, 2923 nt
Filed under: Staphylococcus aureus
Lineage: Bacteria; Bacillati; Bacillota; Bacilli; Caryophanales; Staphylococcaceae
Description: 23S ribosomal RNA
Rfam family: Bacterial large subunit ribosomal RNA
Source: RNAcentral
GAUUAAGUUAUUAAGGGCGCACGGUGGAUGCCUUGGCACUAGAAGCCGAUGAAGGACGUUACUAACGACGAUAUGCUUUGGGGAGCUGUAAGUAAGCUUUGAUCCAGAGAUUUCCGAAUGGGGAAACCCAGCAUGAGUUAUGUCAUGUUAUCGAUAUGUGAAUACAUAGCAUAUCAGAAGGCACACCCGGAGAACUGAAACAUCUUAGUACCCGGAGGAAGAGAAAGAAAAUUCGAUUCCCUUAGUAGCGGCGAGCGAAACGGGGAAGAGCCCAAACCAACAAGCUUGCUUGUUGGGGUUGUAGGACACUCUAUACGGAGUUACAAAGGACGACAUUAGACGAAUCAUCUGGAAAGAUGAAUCAAAGAAGGUAAUAAUCCUGUAGUCGAAAAUGUUGUCUCUCUUGAGUGGAUCCUGAGUACGACGGAGCACGUGAAAUUCCGUCGGAAUCUGGGAGGACCAUCUCCUAAGGCUAAAUACUCUCUAGUGACCGAUAGUGAACCAGUACCGUGAGGGAAAGGUGAAAAGCACCCCGGAAGGGGAGUGAAAUAGAACCUGAAACCGUGUGCUUACAAGUAGUCAGAGCCCGUUAAUGGGUGAUGGCGUGCCUUUUGUAGAAUGAACCGGCGAGUUACGAUUUGAUGCAAGGUUAAGCAGUAAAUGUGGAGCCGUAGCGAAAGCGAGUCUGAAUAGGGCGUUUAGUAUUUGGUCGUAGACCCGAAACCAGGUGAUCUACCCUUGGUCAGGUUGAAGUUCAGGUAACACUGAAUGGAGGACCGAACCGACUUACGUUGAAAAGUGAGCGGAUGAACUGAGGGUAGCGGAGAAAUUCCAAUCGAACCUGGAGAUAGCUGGUUCUCUCCGAAAUAGCUUUAGGGCUAGCCUCAAGUGAUGAUUAUUGGAGGUAGAGCACUGUUUGGACGAGGGGCCCCUCUCGGGUUACCGAAUUCAGACAAACUCCGAAUGCCAAUUAAUUUAACUUGGGAGUCAGAACAUGGGUGAUAAGGUCCGUGUUCGAAAGGGAAACAGCCCAGACCACCAGCUAAGGUCCCAAAAUAUAUGUUAAGUGGAAAGGAUGUGGCGUUGCCCAGACAACUAGGAUGUUGGCUUAGAAGCAGCCAUCAUUUAAAGAGUGCGUAAUAGCUCACUAGUCGAGUGACACUGCGCCGAAAAUGUACCGGGGCUAAACAUAUUACCGAAGCUGUGGAUUGUCCUUUGGACAAUGGUAGGAGAGCGUUCUAAGGGCGUUGAAGCAUGAUCGUAAGGACAUGUGGAGCGCUUAGAAGUGAGAAUGCCGGUGUGAGUAGCGAAAGACGGGUGAGAAUCCCGUCCACCGAUUGACUAAGGUUUCCAGAGGAAGGCUCGUCCGCUCUGGGUUAGUCGGGUCCUAAGCUGAGGCCGACAGGCGUAGGCGAUGGAUAACAGGUUGAUAUUCCUGUACCACCUAUAAUCGUUUUAAUCGAUGGGGGGACGCAGUAGGAUAGGCGAAGCGUGCGAUUGGAUUGCACGUCUAAGCAGUAAGGCUGAGUAUUAGGCAAAUCCGGUACUCGUUAAGGCUGAGCUGUGAUGGGGAGAAGACAUUGUGUCUUCGAGUCGUUGAUUUCACACUGCCGAGAAAAGCCUCUAGAUAGAAAAUAGGUGCCCGUACCGCAAACCGACACAGGUAGUCAAGAUGAGAAUUCUAAGGUGAGCGAGCGAACUCUCGUUAAGGAACUCGGCAAAAUGACCCCGUAACUUCGGGAGAAGGGGUGCUCUUUAGGGUUAACGCCCAGAAGAGCCGCAGUGAAUAGGCCCAAGCGACUGUUUAUCAAAAACACAGGUCUCUGCUAAACCGUAAGGUGAUGUAUAGGGGCUGACGCCUGCCCGGUGCUGGAAGGUUAAGAGGAGUGGUUAGCUUCUGCGAAGCUACGAAUCGAAGCCCCAGUAAACGGCGGCCGUAACUAUAACGGUCCUAAGGUAGCGAAAUUCCUUGUCGGGUAAGUUCCGACCCGCACGAAAGGCGUAACGAUUUGGGCACUGUCUCAACGAGAGACUCGGUGAAAUCAUAGUACCUGUGAAGAUGCAGGUUACCCGCGACAGGACGGAAAGACCCCGUGGAGCUUUACUGUAGCCUGAUAUUGAAAUUCGGCACAGCUUGUACAGGAUAGGUAGGAGCCUUUGAAACGUGAGCGCUAGCUUACGUGGAGGCGCUGGUGGGAUACUACCCUAGCUGUGUUGGCUUUCUAACCCGCACCACUUAUCGUGGUGGGAGACAGUGUCAGGCGGGCAGUUUGACUGGGGCGGUCGCCUCCUAAAAGGUAACGGAGGCGCUCAAAGGUUCCCUCAGAAUGGUUGGAAAUCAUUCAUAGAGUGUAAAGGCAUAAGGGAGCUUGACUGCGAGACCUACAAGUCGAGCAGGGUCGAAAGACGGACUUAGUGAUCCGGUGGUUCCGCAUGGAAGGGCCAUCGCUCAACGGAUAAAAGCUACCCCGGGGAUAACAGGCUUAUCUCCCCCAAGAGUUCACAUCGACGGGGAGGUUUGGCACCUCGAUGUCGGCUCAUCGCAUCCUGGGGCUGUAGUCGGUCCCAAGGGUUGGGCUGUUCGCCCAUUAAAGCGGUACGCGAGCUGGGUUCAGAACGUCGUGAGACAGUUCGGUCCCUAUCCGUCGUGGGCGUAGGAAAUUUGAGAGGAGCUGUCCUUAGUACGAGAGGACCGGGAUGGACAUACCUCUGGUGUACCAGUUGUCGUGCCAACGGCAUAGCUGGGUAGCUAUGUGUGGACGGGAUAAGUGCUGAAAGCAUCUAAGCAUGAAGCCCCCCUCAAGAUGAGAUUUCCCAACUUCGGUUAUAAGAUCCCUCAAAGAUGAUGAGGUUAAUAGGUUCGAGGUGGAAGCAUGGUGACAUGUGGAGCUGACGAAUACUAAUCGAUCGAAGACUUAAUCAA